This 440-nucleotide ribosomal RNA is filed under the name uncultured bacterium. Its description in RNAcentral is "partial 16S ribosomal RNA". It matches the Rfam family "Bacterial small subunit ribosomal RNA", at positions 338 to 795 of the family's 1533-position model. The record is from RNAcentral.
CCUACGGUGGGCUGCAGUGGGGGAUAUUGCACAAUGGGGGAAACCCUGAUGCAGCGACGCCGCGUGGGUGAAGAAGCGCCUCGGCGCGUAAAGCCCUGUCAGCCGGGAAGAAAAUGACGGUACCUGAAGAAGAAGCCCCGGCUAACUACGUGCCAGCAGCCGCGGUAAUACGUAGGGGGCAAGCGUUAUCCGGCUUUACUGGGUGUAAAGGGGGCGCAGACGGCGAUGCAAGCCAGGAGUUAAAGCACCGGGCCCAACCCCGGGACUGCACUUGAGACUGCGUGGCUAGAGUGCGGGAGGGGCAAGCGGAAUUCCUGGUGUAGCGGUGAAAUGCGUAGAUAUCAGGAGGAACACCGGUGGCGAAGGCGGCCUGCUGGACUGCAACUGACGUUGAGGCCCGAAAGCGUGGGGAGCAAACAGGAUUAGAUACCCUAGUACUC